This 245-nucleotide ribosomal RNA is filed under the name uncultured Porphyromonadaceae bacterium. RNAcentral describes it as "partial 16S ribosomal RNA". It matches the Rfam family "Bacterial small subunit ribosomal RNA", at positions 524 to 768 of the family's 1533-position model. Lineage: Bacteria; Pseudomonadati; Bacteroidota; Bacteroidia; Bacteroidales; Porphyromonadaceae. The record is from RNAcentral.
UACGGAGGAUCCGAGCGUUAUCCGGAUUUACUGGGUUUAAAGGGUGCGUAGGCGGGCGCUUAAGUCAGCGGUGAAAGGCAGCGGCUCAACCGUUGGACUGCCGUUGAAACUGGGCGCCUUGAAUUCGGUCGAGGCUGGCGGAAUGCGUGGUGUAGCGGUGAAAUGCUUAGAUAUCACGCGGAACGCCGAUUGCGAAGGCAGCUGGCCAGGCCUGGAUUGACGCUGAGGCACGAAAGCGUGGGGAU